This 255-nucleotide ribosomal RNA is filed under the name uncultured bacterium. Its description in RNAcentral is "partial 16S ribosomal RNA". It matches the Rfam family "Bacterial small subunit ribosomal RNA", at positions 524 to 777 of the family's 1533-position model. The record is from RNAcentral.
UACAGAGGGGGCAAGCGUUGUUCGGAAUUACUGGGCGUAAAGGGCGCGUAGGCGGCCUUCUAAGUCGAACGUGAAAUCCCCGGGCUCAACCGGGGAACUGCGUCUGAUACUGGGUGGCUUGAAUUCGGGAGAGGGAUGCGGAAUUCCAGGUGUAGCGGUGAAAUGCGUAGAUAUCUGGAGGAAUACCGGUGGCGAAGGCGGCAUCCUGGACCGAGAUUGACGCUGAGGAGCGAAAAGCUAGGGGAGCAAACGGGG